RNAcentral lists this ribosomal RNA (679 nucleotides) under uncultured Thermoplasmatales archaeon. Its description in RNAcentral is "bacterial SSU rRNA". It matches the Rfam family "Archaeal small subunit ribosomal RNA", at positions 226 to 904 of the family's 1478-position model. The record is from RNAcentral. Lineage: Archaea; Methanobacteriati; Thermoplasmatota; Thermoplasmata; Thermoplasmatales.
CAGGUAGUAGGUGGUGUAACGGACCACCUAGCCUAAGACGGGUACGGGCCUUGAGAGAGGGAGCCCGGAGAUGGGUUCUGAGACACGAACCCAGGCCCUACGGGGCGCAGCAGGCGCGAAACCUUCGCACUGCGCGAAAGCGCGACGAGGGGAGCCCGAGUGCCUCUCCAUUUCGGGGAGGCUUUUCACAAGCCUAAAAAGCUUGUGGAAUAAGGGCUGGGCAAGACGGGUGCCAGCCGCCGCGGUAAUACCCGCAGCUCGAGUGGUGGUCGCUUUUAUUGAGCCUAAAACGUUCGUAGUCGGCCUUGUAAAUCCCUGGGUAAAUCGGACCGCUUAACGGUUCGAAUUCCGGGGAGACUGCAAGGCUAGGGACCGGGCGAGGUCAGAGGUACUUUCGGGGUAGGAGUGAAAUCCUGUAAUCCCGAAGGGACCACCUGUGGCGAAAGCGUCUGACUUGAACGGCUCCGACGAUGAGGAACGAAGGCUAGGGGAGCAAACCGGGUUAGAUACCCGGGUAGUCCUAGCUGUAAACUCUGUACGCUUGGUGUGGCCUGUCCUUCGGGGGCAGGCUGUGCCGGAGCGAAGGUGUUAAGCGGGCUGCUUGGGGAGUACGGCCGCAAGGUUGAAACUUAAAGGAAUUGGCGGGGGAGCACCGCAACGGGAGGAUGCGUGCGGUUUA